Molecule: long non-coding RNA, 96 nt
Organism: Ochotona curzoniae (black-lipped pika)
Lineage: Eukaryota; Metazoa; Chordata; Mammalia; Lagomorpha; Ochotonidae
Exons: 3
Source: RefSeq, a predicted model, not a curated record
AAAGAAUUCUGUGGUUUUUUUCUUUAUUGUGAAGGAAUUUUAUUUCAUUUUCAAAGACAAAGGAGAACUUUCUUGGAUAUGUUAUUCUCGGCUGAA